Non-coding RNA from Acanthosepion pharaonis, 100 nucleotides. The record is from the annotation of a GenBank genome assembly. Lineage: Eukaryota; Metazoa; Mollusca; Cephalopoda; Sepiida; Sepiidae.
UAUUGAAACAGUAGUUCUCAUACAAUCAUCAAAGUUAAGCAAUGUUGAGCCCAGGUAGUACUUAGAUGGGUGACUGCUUGGGAAUACCAGGUACUGUAAG